This 780-nucleotide unclassified non-coding RNA is filed under the name Limulus polyphemus (Atlantic horseshoe crab). RNAcentral's name for it is "sWI/SNF-related matrix-associated actin-dependent regulator of chromatin subfamily E member 1-like, transcript variant X1". Lineage: Eukaryota; Metazoa; Arthropoda; Merostomata; Xiphosura; Limulidae. The record is from RNAcentral.
CCACCAUUCCCAUUUUACCCCUGAAGAAGGAAAGGUUCAUCUUUCAAAAGUGCUCGGGUUAUGGUUUUUUUAUUCAUUUCUAUCAAGGCUUCUUGAACCUAUGUGUUUUUCUAACAUUAUGAAUUAAAGAUCAUUAAACUAUAUAAAAAUUAAAUUAGGAGUAGAGAAGUACUGAUGACAUCAUCAUAUGUGUGUGGCAAGCUUUUUAAACUAUCAAACUAUGCAAAAUUGAAAUUAGGAGGAGGGAAGUAUGGACGACGUCACCAUAUUUGUAAGGAAGGGCUCUGAUUCGAGCCCGAGACUUCUUGCACACCAAGGGAGAUUUUGGGCUCAGACAUCUAAUGCUUCAGAUUCAUCCCAGCCUGUGAUUUCAAGCAGUAGCUGUCCAUUUAUAUUAUUGAGUCAUGGUCAUCUUUCCUUCAGUCCUGUGAAGUUCGGUUCUCAUUGGUCCAAUGCAUCUGACAGUCAAGUGCUAAAACCUCCAAAGCCUCCAGACAAACCACUUAUGCCUUACAUGAGAUAUAGUCAUAAGAUGGAGUACAGUGAAGCUUUAAAAUGUUAUCACAAUUCUCCAGCUUACCAGGCUUGGGUUGCUGCUAAAGUUUGAAGUAAAGAUCCAUAUUCAUGGUAUAGUUGGUACUAAGGAUUGCAUCUUAUCCCUGUAGCAGUAUUUUAAAUUUUUAGACAUGCUACAAAUGUGUUGACACCGCAACUGACCAAAAAGUGGUAGAAAGAAUACACGAGCAACUGAAAUACGAAAUGAUGACAACUGAUGAACAG